RNAcentral lists this small nuclear RNA (164 nucleotides) under Crocodylus porosus (Australian saltwater crocodile). RNAcentral describes it as "U1 spliceosomal RNA (ENSCPRG00005002475.1)". It matches the Rfam family "U1 spliceosomal RNA". From Rfam's summary of the family: U1 is a small nuclear RNA (snRNA) component of the spliceosome (involved in pre-mRNA splicing). Its 5' end forms complementary base pairs with the 5' splice junction, thus defining the 5' donor site of an intron. There are significant differences in sequence and secondary structure between metazoan and yeast U1 snRNAs, the latter being much longer (568 nucleotides as compared to 164 nucleotides in human). The record is from Rfam by way of RNAcentral. Lineage: Eukaryota; Metazoa; Chordata; Crocodylia; Crocodylidae.
AUACUUACCUGGCAGGGGAGACACCACGGUCUGGAGGGUGGAUUUCCCAGGGAGAGGCCCGGCCCUUGCACUCCGGGCGGGCUGACCCCUGCGAUUUCCCCCCAUGGGGGAAACUCGACUGCGGAAUUUGUGGUAGUGGGGGGCUGCGUGCGCGCUCUCCCCCG